This 293-nucleotide ribosomal RNA is filed under the name uncultured bacterium. RNAcentral describes it as "partial 16S ribosomal RNA". It matches the Rfam family "Bacterial small subunit ribosomal RNA", at positions 505 to 796 of the family's 1533-position model. The record is from RNAcentral.
GUUACAGCCGCCGCGGUAAUACGGGGGGAGCAAGCGUUGUUCGGAUUUACUGGGCGUAAAGGGCGCGUAGGCGGCCACCGCAAGUCGACUGUGAAAUCUCUGGGCUUAACCCAGAACGGUCAGCCGAUACUGCGGGGCUAGAGUGCAGAAGGGGCAACUGGAAUUCUCGGUGUAGCGGUGAAAUGCGUAGAUAUCGAGAGGAACACCUGCGGCGAAGGCGGGUUGCUGGGCUGACACUGACGCUGAGGCGCGAAAGCUAGGGGAGCGAACGGGAUUAGAAACCCGGGUAGUCC